RNAcentral lists this ribosomal RNA (433 nucleotides) under uncultured bacterium. Its description in RNAcentral is "partial 16S ribosomal RNA". It matches the Rfam family "Bacterial small subunit ribosomal RNA", at positions 29 to 507 of the family's 1533-position model. The record is from RNAcentral.
AGCGAACGCUGGCGGCAGGCCUAACACAUGCAAGUCGAACGAACCUUUCGGGGUUAGUGGCGGACGGGUGAGUAACACGUGGGAACGUGCCUUUAGGUUCGGAAUAACUCAGGGAAACUUGUGCUAAUACCGAAUGUGCCCUUCGGGGGAAAGAUUAAUCGCCUUAGAGCGGCCCGCGUCUGAUUAGCUAGUUGGUUGAGGUAAUGGCUCACCAAGGCGACGAUCAGUAGCUGGUCUGAGAGGAUGAUCAGCCACAUUGGGACUGAGACACGGCCCAAACUCCUACGGGAGGCAGCAGUGGGGAAUCUUGCGCAAUGGGCGAAAGCCUGACGCAGCCAUGCCGCGUGAAUGAUGAAGGUCUUAGGAUUGUAAAAUUCUUUCACCGGGGACGAUAAUGACGGUACCCGGAGAAGAAGCCCCGGCUAACUUCGUG